RNAcentral lists this ribosomal RNA (352 nucleotides) under uncultured Rhodocyclaceae bacterium. RNAcentral describes it as "bacterial SSU rRNA". It matches the Rfam family "Bacterial small subunit ribosomal RNA", at positions 1029 to 1382 of the family's 1533-position model. Lineage: Bacteria; Pseudomonadati; Pseudomonadota; Betaproteobacteria; Rhodocyclales; Rhodocyclaceae. The record is from RNAcentral.
AGAACACAGGUGCUGCAUGGCUGUCGUCAGCUCGUGUCGUGAGAUGUUGGGUUAAGUCCCGCAACGAGCGCAACCCUUGUCACUAGUUGCCAUCAUUUGGUUGGGCACUCUAGUGAGACUGCCGGUGACAAGCCGGAGGAAGGUGGGGAUGACGUCAAGUCCUCAUGGCCCUUAUGGGUAGGGCUUCACACGUCAUACAAUGGUCGGUACAGAGGGUUGCCAACCCGCGAGGGGGAGCUAAUCCCACAAAGCCGAUCGUAGUCCGGAUCGCAGUCUGCAACUCGACUGCGUGAAGUCGGAAUCGCUAGUAAUCGUGGAUCAGCAUGUCACGGUGAAUACGUUCCCGGGUCUU